UAAAUUUCACAAGCAUGCAAU
This 21-nucleotide non-coding RNA is filed under the name Caenorhabditis elegans. The record is from RNAcentral. Lineage: Eukaryota; Metazoa; Nematoda; Chromadorea; Rhabditida; Rhabditidae.